UUAAAUGCGUUGAUAGGGAAUAAACGCUGCGUUAUGAUGCUAUAGAGAGCUGUUGAAUGCUGGAAAACAGUGCACAGAGCAGAAUGUGAACUCACCCUUGAGCAGUUAGCCUAAAGCUGCAUAGGCCAUUAUGGCAGAUGAAGUGAGUAAGUGGGAACGGGUUUCUCGCCGUUAUACGAGAGGACAUUAGUCAUGAUGUCAAAAAGUGGGUAUUUCUAUACCAAUAAGAGUGGUACCACGGGAGUUUAAUGCUUUCGUCUCUAAC
RNAcentral lists this non-coding RNA (265 nucleotides) under Pseudobacteroides cellulosolvens. Its description in RNAcentral is "T-box sequence". It matches the Rfam family "T-box leader". From Rfam's summary of the family: Uncharged tRNA acts as the effector for transcription antitermination of genes in the T-box leader family. T-boxes are found upstream of many aminoacyl-tRNA synthetase genes and some amino acid biosynthetic genes usually in Gram-positive bacteria. The record is from RNAcentral. Lineage: Bacteria; Bacillati; Bacillota; Clostridia; Eubacteriales; Oscillospiraceae.